This 375-nucleotide ribosomal RNA is filed under the name uncultured bacterium. RNAcentral describes it as "bacterial SSU rRNA". It matches the Rfam family "Bacterial small subunit ribosomal RNA", at positions 522 to 895 of the family's 1533-position model. The record is from RNAcentral.
AAUACGUAGGUCCCGAGCGUUGCCCGGAAUCACUGGGCGUAAAGCAAACGUAGAAACUUCGGUAAGUCGAACGUGAAAUCCCUGGGCUCAACCCAGGAACGGCGUUCGAGACUGCCGGACUCGAGGAAACUAGAGGGCGCUGGAAUUCCCGGUGUAAAACUGAAAUGCGUAGAUAUCGGGAGGAACACCGGUGGCGAAGAAACGCGCCUGGGCCGCUCCUGACGCUGAGCCGCGAAAGCUGGGGGAGCAAACCGGAUUAGAUACCCGGGUAGUCCCAGCCCUAAACGAUGGGUGCUUGGUGUGGGGGGUUUUAGUCCCUCCGUGCCUGUAGCUAACGCGUUAAGCACCCCGCCUGGGGAGUACGGUCGCAAGGCU